Molecule: ribosomal RNA, 461 nt
Filed under: uncultured bacterium
Lineage: Bacteria
Description: bacterial SSU rRNA
Rfam family: Bacterial small subunit ribosomal RNA
Source: RNAcentral
GGGAGGCAGCAGUGGGGAAUUUUGGACAAUGGGCGCAAGCCUGAUCCAGCAAUGCCGCGUGCAGGAAGAAGGCCUUCGGGUUGUAAACUGCUUUUGUACGGAACGAAACGGUCCUUUCUAAUACAAGGGUCUAAUGACGGUACCGUAAGAAUAAGCACCGGCUAACUACGUGCCAGCAGCCGCGGUAGUACGUAGGGUGCGAGCGUUAAUCGGAAUUACUGGGCGUAAAGCGUGCGCAGGCGGUUGUGUAAGACAGUUGUGAAAUCCCCGGGCUCAACCUGGGAAUUGCAUCUGUGACUGCACAGCUAGAGUACGGUAGAGGGGGAUGGAAUUCCGCGUGUAGCAGUGAAAUGCGUAGAUAUGCGGAGGAACACCGAUGGCGAAGGCAAUCCCCUGGACCUGUACUGACGCUCAUGCACGAAAGCGUGGGGAGCAAACAGGAUUAGAAACCCCGGUAGUCC